Molecule: ribosomal RNA, 618 nt
Filed under: Phoma herbarum
Lineage: Eukaryota; Fungi; Ascomycota; Dothideomycetes; Pleosporales; Didymellaceae
Description: eukaryotic LSU rRNA
Rfam family: 5.8S ribosomal RNA (bases 143-296)
Source: RNAcentral
UUACCUAGAGUUUGUGGGCUUUGCCCACUGUCUCUUACCCAUGUCUUUUGAGUACUUACGUUUCCUCGGUGGGCUCGCCCGCCGGUUGGACAAUUUAAACCAUUUGCAGUUGCAAUCAGCGUCUGAAAAACAUAAUAGUUACAACUUUCAACAACGGAUCUCUUGGUUCUGGCAUCGAUGAAGAACGCAGCGAAAUGCGAUAAGUAGUGUGAAUUGCAGAAUUCAGUGAAUCAUCGAAUCUUUGAACGCACAUUGCGCCCCUUGGUAUUCCAUGGGGCAUGCCUGUUCGAGCGUCAUUUGUACCUUCAAGCUCUGCUUGGUGUUGGGUGUUUGUCUCGCCUUGCGCGUAGACUCGCCUUAAAACAAUUGGCAGCCGGCGUAUUGAUUUCGGAGCGCAGUACAUCUCGCGCUUUGCACUCAUAACGACGACGUCCAAAAGUACUUUUUACACUCUUGACCUCGGAUCAGGUAGGGAUACCCGCUGAACUUAAGCAUAUCAAUAAGCGGAGGACCUCCGCUUAUUGAUAUGCCUUGUUACGACUUUUACUUCCAUCCUCCGCUUAUUGAUAUGCCUUGUUACGACUUUUACUUCCAUCCUCCGCUUAUUGAUAUGCCUUG